This is a long non-coding RNA of Pan troglodytes (chimpanzee), 772 nucleotides long. RefSeq lists it as uncharacterized. The record is from RefSeq and is a predicted model, not a curated record. The transcript is spliced from 3 exons. Lineage: Eukaryota; Metazoa; Chordata; Mammalia; Primates; Hominidae.
CAGAGCUAGAAGACAUAGACAAGGAUGAGAAGAGCUAUUCUUAGGGGAGAGCCAGAUUUCAGUAUGUGCUCAUGUUUGGGAGCUUAUGCUCUGGAAUCACCGGCUUCAGACCUUGACUCUACCACUUGAUGUGGGAUGAGAAAACUGGUCCAGAGAAGGGGACUUGAUGAUGCCAGUGACGGAACCAGGAUGAGAACUCGCAUCUCCUGAUUCUCUUGCGCUUUAUUUCAUCACACAUAUGAAAGAAGAUGAGAAACGUUCAGCAUUCAGUAGUGGGGACCACUUUGAGAUUAGUUUGUCAAUUGCCAUAUAAGUAUGCUUUUGCUUGGUAUAUCUGUGUAAAGCAAUAUGUACUCUAUGUACUAAAGGUACAUGAUAAUUAUGACUUGAGGACAAUACAAAGACUGACUGGUUUGUGAUUAAACAUUUCACAUAGUAGGAGGUGCUUGGAUAUUAUUAUCUUUAAAACAAAUGUAAAACUGAUUUCAAACUAAAGCAUGAGUAUUUUAACAAAUAUAUCAAAUAUCAGAGAGGAAGGAGGAAGGAUUUUAGAACAAUUAACCUGGAAAAUGUGAUUAUUUUUGACAUGUUUUCACAUUCCUACAAUACAAGUCACUUGACAAAAAUGACCUAAAAAGUUUUUCUUUUUUUUUCUGUGCCAUCUUCUCAGCUCCCAACCAUGUCAUUUUAACUAACAGAAUUGCAGCCUAUUUGUACUUUUUUCCUUCUGCAUCAGUUUCGAUUCCUUUUUAUAUACUUGCUUUUAUCUAGG